GUCUAGGGCCAUACCACCCCGAACGUGUCCCGUCUCAUCCGAACUCGAAAGCUGAGCAGAGUCGGGCCGGGUCAGUACUUGGAUGGGAAGACAAAGCCAGGGCGCCGGGAGCA
RNAcentral lists this ribosomal RNA (113 nucleotides) under Sorex araneus (European shrew). The record is from RNAcentral. Lineage: Eukaryota; Metazoa; Chordata; Mammalia; Eulipotyphla; Soricidae.